GACGAACGCUGGCGGCAUGCCUAAUACAUGCAAGUCGAGCGAACAGAUGAAGUGCUUGCACUUCUGACGUUAGCGGCGAACGGGUGAGUAACACGUAAGGAAUCUACCUAUAAGCGGGGGAUAACAUUCGGAAACGGGUGCUAAUACCGCAUAAUAUCUUCUUCCGCAUGGAAGAAGAUUGAAAGACGGCUCUGCUGUCACUUAUAGAUGACCUUGCGGUGCAUUAGUUAGUUGGUGGGGUAAUGGCCUACCAAGACGAUGAUGCAUAGCCGACCUGAGAGGGUGAUCGGCCACAUUGGGACUGAGACACGGCCCAAACUCCUACGGGAGGCAGCAGUAGGGAAUCUUCCGCAAUGGGCGAAAGCCUGACGGAGCAAUGCCGCGUGAGUGAAGAAGGCCUUCGGGUCGUAAAACUCUGUUAUAAGAGAAGAACAAAUUGUAGAGUAACUGCUACAGUCUUGACGGUAUCUUAUCAGAAAGCCACGGCUAACUAC
This 494-nucleotide ribosomal RNA is filed under the name uncultured bacterium. Its description in RNAcentral is "bacterial SSU rRNA". It matches the Rfam family "Bacterial small subunit ribosomal RNA", at positions 28 to 504 of the family's 1533-position model. The record is from RNAcentral.